UACGUAGGGACCAAGCGUUGUUCGGAUUUACUGGGCGUAAAGGGCGCGUAGGCGGCAUGACAAGUCACUUGUGAAAUCUCUGGGCUUAACCCAGAACGGCCAAGUGAUACUGUCGCGCUAGAGUGCGGAAGGGGCAAUCGGAAUUCUCGGUGUAGCGGUGAAAUGCGUAGAUAUCGAGAGGAACACCUGAGGUGAAGACGGGUUGCUGGGCCGACACUGACGCUGAGGCGCGAAAGCUAGGGGAGCAAACGGG
Molecule: ribosomal RNA, 253 nt
Filed under: uncultured bacterium
Lineage: Bacteria
Description: partial 16S ribosomal RNA
Rfam family: Bacterial small subunit ribosomal RNA
Source: RNAcentral